RNAcentral lists this ribosomal RNA (301 nucleotides) under uncultured bacterium. RNAcentral describes it as "partial 16S ribosomal RNA". It matches the Rfam family "Bacterial small subunit ribosomal RNA", at positions 509 to 807 of the family's 1533-position model. The record is from RNAcentral.
CAGCAGCCACGGUAAUACGAAGGGUGCAAGCGUUAAUCGGAAUUACUGGGCGUAAAGCGUGCGUAGGCGGUGAGUUAAGUCUGCUGUGAAAUCCCCGGGCUCAACCUGGGAAUGGCAGUGGAUACUGGCUCGCUAGAGUGUGUCGGAGGAUGGUGGAAUUCCCGGUGUAGCGGUGAAAUGCGUAGAGAUCGGGAGGAACAUCAGUGGCGAAGGCGGCCAUCUGGGACAACACUGACGCUGAGGCACGAAAGCGUGGGGAGCAAACAGGAUUAGAUACCCCGGUAGUCCCUGUCUCUUAUAC